UACGAAGGGGGCGAGCGUUGUUCGGAUUUACUGGGCGUAAAGGGCGCGCAGGCGGUUCUGUUUGUCGAGUGUGAAAGCCCCGGGCUCAACCUGGGAACUGCGCUCGAAACGGCGGAACUAGAGUUCGGGAGAGGAGAGUGGAAUUCCCAGUGUAGAGGUGAAAUUCGUAGAUAUUGGGAAGAACACCGGUGGCGAAGGCGGCUCUCUGGACCGGUACUGACGCUGAGGCGCGAAAGCGUGGGGAGCAAACAGG
Molecule: ribosomal RNA, 253 nt
Filed under: uncultured bacterium
Lineage: Bacteria
Description: partial 16S ribosomal RNA
Rfam family: Bacterial small subunit ribosomal RNA
Source: RNAcentral